UACGUAGGGGGCAAGCGUUGUCCGGAAUCAUUGGGCGUAAAGAGCGUGUAGGCGGUCCGGUAAGUCGGCUGUGAAAGUCCAGGGCUCAACCCUGGGAUGCCGGUCGAUACUGCCGGACUAGAGUUCGGAAGAGGCGAGUGGAAUUCCCGGUGUAGCGGUGAAAUUCGUAGAUAUUCGGAGGAACACCAGUGGCGAAGGCGGCUCACUGGUCCGGUACUGACGCUGAGGUGCGAAAGCGUGGGGAGCAAACAGG
This 253-nucleotide ribosomal RNA is filed under the name uncultured bacterium. RNAcentral describes it as "partial 16S ribosomal RNA". It matches the Rfam family "Bacterial small subunit ribosomal RNA", at positions 524 to 776 of the family's 1533-position model. The record is from RNAcentral.